CUGGAGGUUAGUCUGUCGUCUCUCUACGAUUUACCUUUGGAGUUCGUGUUUGAGGUGUUUGAUCCUUGAAUCGAUGUAUUCUUCUCUAUUCUUCUGCUAUGAACUCAGAUGGAUGUGAUUCUCGUGAGCACAUAGAUGUGCGCAUGAGAGAAAAAUAUGAAUAGAUCGAUGAUUCAUGGGAAGAAACAAAGCAAAUGGAUAAAUCUUCAGAUCUAGUUU
This 219-nucleotide long non-coding RNA is filed under the name Hordeum vulgare. RNAcentral's name for it is "long non-coding RNA (HVUL_LNC019216)". The record is from RNAcentral. Lineage: Eukaryota; Viridiplantae; Streptophyta; Magnoliopsida; Poales; Poaceae.